This is a non-coding RNA of Perognathus longimembris pacificus (Pacific pocket mouse), 501 nucleotides long. NCBI's taxonomy places the organism in Eukaryota, Metazoa, Chordata, Mammalia, Rodentia, Heteromyidae. The record is from the annotation of a RefSeq genome assembly.
AGCUGGAUUCCACCCAGUGAUUGACACAGACCACUCACCAUGGAGCUGGGGCUGUGCUGGGUUUUCCUUGCUGCUCUUUUAAAAGGUGUCCAGUGUGAGGUGCAGCUGGUGGAGUCUGGGGGAGGCUUGGUGCAGCCUGAGGGGUCCCUGAGCCUCUCCUGUGCAGCCUCUGGAUUCACCUUCAGUGGUUUCUGGAUGAGCUGGAUCCGACAAGCUCCAGGGAAAGGGCUGGAGUGGAUUGCACAAAUUAAUCAAAAUGGUGGUAGCACAUACUACACAGAGUCUGUGAAGGGAAGAUUCACCAUCUCCAGAGACAACAAUAAAAACAUGCUGAAUCUGCAAAUGAACAGCCUGAGAACCGAGGACACUGCUGUGUAUUACUGUGCAAGAGACACAGUGCAAGGAGCUCAGUGUGAGCCCAGACACAAACCUCUCAGCAGGGACUCUGGGCCAGCAGGGGGCGCUGGGCCCUGGGGACCAGGACCUCAGACUCAGGCCUGA